This 451-nucleotide ribosomal RNA is filed under the name uncultured bacterium. RNAcentral describes it as "partial 16S ribosomal RNA". It matches the Rfam family "Bacterial small subunit ribosomal RNA", at positions 354 to 796 of the family's 1533-position model. The record is from RNAcentral.
GUGGGGAAUAUUGGACAAUGGGGGGAACCCUGAUCCAGCCAUGCUGCGUGUGUGAAGAAGGCCUUUUGGUUGUAAAGCACUUUAAGCGAGGAGGAGGCUACCGAGAUUAAUACUCUUGGAUAGUGGACGUUACUCGCAGAAUAAGCACCGGCUAACUCUGUGCCAGCAGCCGCGGUAAUACAGAGGGUGCAAGCGUUAAUCGGAUUUACUGGGCGUAAAGCGUGCGUAGGUGGCAAAUUAAGUCAAAUGUGAAAUCCCCGAGCUUAACUUGGGAAUUGCAUUCGAUACUGGUUGGCUAGAGUAUGGGAGAGGAUGGUAGAAGUCCAGGUGUAGCGGUGAAAUGCGUAGAGAUCUGGAGGAAUACCGAUGGCGAAGGCAGCCAUCUGGCCUAAUACUGACACUGAGGUACGAAAGCAUGGGGAGCAAACAGGAUUAGAUACCCUGGUAGUCC